This 498-nucleotide ribosomal RNA is filed under the name uncultured bacterium. RNAcentral's name for it is "partial 16S ribosomal RNA". It matches the Rfam family "Bacterial small subunit ribosomal RNA", at positions 30 to 523 of the family's 1533-position model. The record is from RNAcentral.
AUUGAACGCUGGCGGCAUGCCUUACACAUGCAAGUCGAACGGUAACAGGUCUUCGGAUGCUGACGAGUGGCGAACGGGUGAGUAAUACAUCGGAACGUGCCUAGUAGUGGGGGAUAACUACUCGAAAGAGUGGCUAAUACCGCAUGAGAUCUACGGAUGAAAGCAGGGGAUCGCAAGACCUUGUGCUACUAGAGCGGCCGAUGGCAGAUUAGGUAGUUGGUGGGAUAAAAGCUUACCAAGCCGACGAUCUGUAGCUGGUCUGAGAGGACGAUCAGCCAGUAUGGGACUGAGACACGGCACAGACUCCUACGGGAGGCAGCAGUGGGGAAUUUUGGACAAUGGGCGAAAGCCUGAUCCAGCAAUGCCGCGUGCAGGAUGAAGGCCUUCUGGUUGUAAACUGCUUUUGUACGGAACGAAAAGCCCCGGGUUAAUACCCUGGGGUCAUGACGGUACCGUAAGAAUAAGCACCGGCUAACUACGUGCCAGCCGCCGCCGUAA